Molecule: ribosomal RNA, 468 nt
Filed under: uncultured bacterium
Lineage: Bacteria
Description: partial 16S ribosomal RNA
Rfam family: Bacterial small subunit ribosomal RNA
Source: RNAcentral
GACGAACGCUGGCGGCGUGCUUAACACAUGCCAGUCGAACGGGAAGGCCCUGCUUUUGUGGGGUGCUCGAGUGGCGAACGGGUGAGUAACACGUGAGUAACCUGCCCUUGACUUUGGGAUAACUUCAGGAAACUGGGGCUAAUACCGGAUAGGAGCUCCUGCUGCAUGGUGGGGGUUGGAAAGUUUCGGCGGUUGGGGAUGGACUCGCGGCUUAUCAGCUUGUUGGUGGGGUAGUGGCUUACCAAGGCUUUGACGGGUAGCCGGCCUGAGAGGGUGACCGGCCACAUUGGGACUGAGAUACGGCGCAGACUCCUACGGGAGGCAGCAGUGGGGAAUAGGGCACAAUGGGCGGAAGCCUGAUGCAGCAACGCCGCGUGCGGGAUGACGGCCUUCGGGGUGUAAACCGCUUUCGCCUGUGACGAAGCGUUAGUGACGGUAAUGGGUAAAGAAGCACCGGCUAACUACGUG